UCAGGCUUAAGGUGUACUGAAGGACCUGCUAUCAUAUUUGGAAAAUGUACUGCUAAUAUGUGCAGCGUCUGGCUCCCAUAGUGCCCUUAUGUACUUGAAAAGCACCAGGAAUCUGGGAUGUGUUGCAUAUGGUUUGCAAAAUCAGAGCAGGCUCAUGGAAUUUCAGACUGUUGGAUUAACUGGUCUCCUUUGCAUUCACCAGUCUGUUUGAUUAGGGGGACUGGACACCGCUAAAUGAUUCUGUAUUAAUUUAUACAUAAUAAGGACAUUUCUACUUGCUAGUUACCAGAUGCACUCCAAGUGAAAUAUUCCAAAAGAGGUUUUUUUUUUCUGUAAAAAAAUAAUACUGCAUUUCCUUUUGAUAGAAAAGACAAUUACG
Lepisosteus oculatus (spotted gar) is the source of this 379-nucleotide long non-coding RNA. RefSeq lists it as uncharacterized. The record is from RefSeq and is a predicted model, not a curated record. NCBI's taxonomy places the organism in Eukaryota, Metazoa, Chordata, Actinopteri, Semionotiformes, Lepisosteidae.